This 439-nucleotide ribosomal RNA is filed under the name uncultured bacterium. RNAcentral describes it as "partial 16S ribosomal RNA". It matches the Rfam family "Bacterial small subunit ribosomal RNA", at positions 338 to 795 of the family's 1533-position model. The record is from RNAcentral.
CCUACGGGCGGCAGCAGUGGGGAAUAUUGCACAAUGGGGGAAACCCUGAUGCAGCAACGCCGCGUGAGUGUAGAAGUAUUUCGGUAUGUAAAGCUCUAUCAGCAGGGAAGAAAAUGACAGUACCUGACUAAGAAGCCCCGGCUAACUACGUGCCAGCAGCCGCGGUAAUACGUAGGUGGCAAGCGUUGUCCGGAAUUACUGGGUGUAAAGGGAGCGUAGGCGGGAAAGCAAGUUGAAUGUUUAAGGUACGGGCUCAACCUGUACAAGCGUUCAAAACUGUUUUUCUUGAGUGGAGUAGAGGUAAGCGGAAUUCCUGGUGUAGCGGUGAAAUGCGUAAAUAUUAGGAGGAACCCCAGUGGCGAAGGCGGCUUACUGGGCUUUAACUGACGCUGAGGCUCGAAAGCGUGGGUAGCAAACAGGAUUAGAUACCCGGGUAGUC